RNAcentral lists this long non-coding RNA (1020 nucleotides) under Marmota monax (woodchuck). The record is from RNAcentral. Lineage: Eukaryota; Metazoa; Chordata; Mammalia; Rodentia; Sciuridae.
GCAGCUCAAAAGGCUGAGGCAGGAGGAUCUGGAGUUCAAGGCCAGCCUCAGAAAAAGUGAAGUGCUAAACAACUCAUACCCUGUCUCUAAAUAAAAUACAAAAUAGGGCUGGUGAUGUGGUUGAGUGCCCCUAAAUUCAAUCCCUGGUACCUUCCCCCCCAAAAAAAUAAGGUGGAGGUGGCAGCAGGAGCCCCAGCAGCCAUGCUACCAUCUUAGGCUCAGAGGAUAUCAUAUUAGACAUUUUACACCCAUCUUCUCCCAGGCAUUUAUUACGUUUAUGUUACAAAAAAAAAAAAGUAACCUUAACUUGCUGGAGGCCAUGUGGGCAUGAUUUGAAUACAAGCCUGGAGCACCUGCUUGAAUACCCACCCUGCCACCAUGCCAGGGAGCUUCCAAGCCAACUAUUCCAGCUGACUCAAAUCCUUAGAAUGGCAAAAUCGAUCACUUAUCCUCUGUGUCAGAUGAACCUCUUUGCCAUGGAACAUGUCCUUGAGAGCUUGAGGAUAGUCGCUGCAUCUUAUCAAGUCGUUUUUUCUCUUAGAUAAAUCCUCAGUGGUUUUCCUUCAACACGGUUUCGAGACUUCCAUUGUCCACUCGAUUUGAGUUGUCAGCAUUCUUCAAAUGCAGGGGCUUGAAAAUCUGCAGGUGCCAGCCCGGUGCUUGUGGCUAACAGUUUAGACCCAGAGUAAAGAUUUUUGGGUUUAAAUCCUUGCUGCACCACAGGCCAGCAGUGUGACCAUGUUAAUCCCUAUCUCUCUGAGCCCUUAUGUCUUCUCCCGAGUCAUGAGGAUUGUGCGAACCCUCAUUUUCUGCCAUACAACCCUUUCAGGUGGGCUCAGCCUGGCUUGGUGACAGACAGGCAAGGGAGAACAAACAGCAAGCUGUCACAGUGCUAACAAGCUGGACAGAUGACCAGAACCAUUAGGAGAAGGGGUUCCUCUCCCAGGGACUUUGGGUCCUUGGUAGAGAGGGUCAGGCUAUUGGGAGACAUAAACACCCACUGAGAUGCCUGACUCAGAU